This 497-nucleotide ribosomal RNA is filed under the name uncultured bacterium. RNAcentral's name for it is "partial 16S ribosomal RNA". It matches the Rfam family "Bacterial small subunit ribosomal RNA", at positions 28 to 507 of the family's 1533-position model. The record is from RNAcentral.
GAUGAACGCUGGCGGCGUGCCUAAUACAUGCAAGUCGAGCGAACAGACGAGGAGCUUGCUCCUCUGACGUUAGCGGCGGACGGGUUAGUAACACGUGGAUAACCUACCUAUAAGACUGGGAUAACUUCGGGAAACCGGAGCUAAUACCGGAUAAUAUAUUGAACCGCAUGGUUCAAUAGUUAAAGACGGUUUUGCUGUCACUUAUAGAUGGAUCCGCGCCGCAUUAGCUAGUUGGUAAGGUAACGGCUUACCAAGGCGACGAUGCGUAGCCGACCUGAGAGGGUGAUCGGCCACACUGGAACUGAGACACGGUCAAGACUCCUACGGGAGGCAGCAGUAGGGAAUCUUCCGCAAUGGGCGAAAGCCUGACGGAGCAACGCCGCGUGAGUGAUGAAGGUCUUCGGAUCGUAAAACUCUGUUAUUAGGGAAGAACAAAUGUGUAAGUAACUAUGCACGUCUUGACGGUACCUAAUCAGAAAGCCACGGCUAACUACGUG